UGGCUCAGUGGUAGAGUGCUUGCCUCAUAUGCAUGAGGCCCUGGGUUUGAUUUCUCAG
Molecule: transfer RNA, 58 nt
Filed under: Dipodomys ordii (Ord's kangaroo rat)
Lineage: Eukaryota; Metazoa; Chordata; Mammalia; Rodentia; Heteromyidae
Source: Rfam by way of RNAcentral